Oreochromis aureus is the source of this 3656-nucleotide long non-coding RNA. NCBI's taxonomy places the organism in Eukaryota, Metazoa, Chordata, Actinopteri, Cichliformes, Cichlidae. The record is from Ensembl.
CAUAAGCCUCCCCUCCGUCCAUUAGGUUGUAGCUGCAGAAGCCUCCUAUUGCUGCUUGUCUGAGCUACAAAAAGUGUUGCUGCUUUUUCUUCUUCUUUGAUUUGUUUUGGGUUUCGUAGCUUUACUUGUUUUUGAGACGGGAGUGUCCAAUCCAGUAACAGGCUGGGCACUAAAGCUUCCGACUCCCAGUUCUUUUCUUUUUUUGUUUUGUUUUAUUUUUCUUUUAUUUUUUGUCGUCACUCCACCAAAGUCCACAUAAAAAAAAGGAAAAAAAGGGUUACAUCAGUCAACAGGACGAUGGAGGAAGCAUCUCUACUACGUCUAAACUGUAAGCAGUAAAUUUCUUAGUUUUAAAUGUUGAAUGUUUACUGUUUAAUAAUAAGUGAUGUAGACACGAACAAGAUGUCAGGCUCCCAGCUGCUUUCUAUAAAGAUGGCUCCCUCAUCAGGAAGCAGCCUACAGGUCACAUGACCAUCCAGCAUGUUUCCAGGUCUGAUGAAGGCCUCUACAAGUGUGACAUCAGCGGUCAUGGAGAGUCUCCAUCCAGCUGGAUCACUGUCACAGGGGAACACACCACCACACCUCCACCUGCAUUUUCUGCUGGUUCGUCCCUUCUCCCUGUGUUGCUGACAGCUCAAUCAGCCUGUGUUGUAGUUAUACUGGAGUUACUGGUUCUUUUGCUGGAAUGAAACGUUCAAAGGAAACUCAAAGGUGAGACUCACAUUCCUGGGUUUUUCUUUCAGGCUUCUUUCAAUGAGCAGAGUUUCUACUUAAUAUGUUUGUGGUGGAUCAUAAAUUUGAUUAGUUUUGGAGUUGUACAUCUCUGUUCCUUAUAUUUCAUGUCAUGCUUUUAUUAUUGUUUUAUUUGUUGUUUUGACUGUUUUGCUCUAUAGAAUAUACAGUGGGAAGGUAGAGGGAGAUAAGUAGUGAAAGUUUUGCCUGGGUUGAUUGUGCGUCAAUCCAUUGGUAAUGCCUCAGGACUCCAGUAGGUGGAUUCACGCAUCUUCUCCUUCACUCAAUACAGACGAGUGAGAGCGAGAGCUGCGUGUCCGUUCCAUUCUUUCACCUCUCCUCACUAUUUCCCCUGUUUAAGGGCUCAGCAUGUUUGAGUGUUUCUGUUAGUACCUUUAUCAGUUUUAAGGAAUAUUCAAAGCAAAGAUAAAUGCACAUUUAUGAAGAGUAGCUAUUCUGAUCACAGUGUGUCCUGAUUGACCAAUUUAUUACACAUUUUGCAUAUUUACUGAGCCAAUCACAUUGCAGCAGCUCAGUGCUGUGAGACGUAACAUUUUCACAAUGUUUGAAUCUAUAUUUCACACACAUGUGCAAAAAACAAACAUUUGGGAUCAGAGGGCGGGGCUUACUUUGUGUGUCUAACAAAAAAGAAAACACAUAGGUCACAUCAGUCAAGGCAACAAUGAAGGAAACAUCUCUGCUCUGUAAGUGGACAAUUUCUUUGUUUUUAUAGUGUGUAACCUUUACUGUCUACUAAUAGCUGAUGAUUGAGGGGAAGACAUAAAGAAGAUGUCAGGCUGGAUCCAGGCAGCAGGUUAAAAAGGAGUUUUUACAGUUUUUCCAGUAGACUUCACUGAAUUAGUUAUUAUGUCAGCUUAUGUUUAAAGUGGACACACGAGUUAAAAGUUGUGGUUAUGUUACUUAUGCAUCCAGUACAGAAAACAUGAAGUAAUCACUAAAAGAACAGCUUUACAGACUUGGUGUUAGAGGUGUGGGAGCAGAAAUGCACAGUGGAAACAGACUGAUAGUCUGAUCUGGUUCACAUUUAAAAAGACAAAUAUACUUCAAAGACAGAUUUAUAUCUGUAUGUUUAAUUUUACUGAGUAAAAUGAUACAAAUUAAUGGCCGACUUUGUAAAUCGGUCCUCGCUCAACAUCGCUUCAUGCCGUGAUGUGAAAACCUAACAGCUGGGAUUCAGACUGUGGGUUUACCCCAAUCACUCUGAUGCCAUAAAGUGAUUUACAGUGUUUGUAUCUGAGUUUACCUCUGAUAACUUUGCUUAUCUUGAUAAAUAGUCUGCAGUCAACAUGAUUAACCAAGGAAUUACAUCUAAAAUAAAGACAUUACCUGUUUAUAUUAACUUAACAGGCAGGUCUUUGCACUGUGGAGUACUGUGGAGACAACCCACAGACACGCAGCUUUUUUUUUUUUUUUUUACAAAACUGCUACAUUAUUUUAGACAUGGCAGCUACAAACUACAGUCUUCCAUUUUUCUAUGUUUCUGUGACCACAAAAUAAAAAGGAACAGCCAGAAAUCAAUGACUAAAGCAGACAUGAACUUUUCUCAGUUACAUUUCAAAACACAUUUUUGGCCUUUUCUUGGUGGGAGGUACUCUAAACUAAUACAGGUGUCAUUUCUCUUUAGUUCUGACUCCAGUGCUUUGCUGCACAACAAACCAAGCUACACCUCCACCUGCAGCCACAGCUCCAUCUGCAGCCACCUCUGCAUUGGCCUCUCUGGAUUUUUACUCUCUUCUCCCCAUGGUGGUGACUGCUGCGUUGGUCUGUCUCGUGGUUGUAGUGGUGUUAAUGUUUCUUUUGAUGGAACAAACCAGUCACAGUCAACUUGAAGAGAGGACAGACAACAUCAUUUAUGGAGAAAUCGUCACCAAAGACAAGCAACACAAAUCAGCUAAAAGAGAGUUUCCAAGAGAGCCAGACGUCAUCUACUCUGAAGUGAAGCAUUUCACCAGUCCAGCCACUGAGAUCCAGCUGCAGGUCUCUCACAGUCCUCAAAGCACCUGAUGAAGAUUUUUAUGUGAAGAACCUGCAAAAACAAAGAAAUAAACAAAUGUGCCUUCAGCAACAUGUAGUUAAGCGAGAAUAUAACUAAUAUAUUAAUCUAAUGCUGUGUAUUUAAUGCUAUUUAUAUAUUUUAUUUCUAAAUGUGGGGCCCUGCUGGUGUCUUCACAGCAGUAAUUUGGUUUCUCUGCAGGAUCAGUAAACUUUAGUCUCCCUUGCUGUUCUUCUCAUGUGGCUUUGUGAGUUUCAUAAAGACGUCUGAGAGGAAACUAUGAAUAGUUACGGCCAACAGAUACACACCUCUGUUUGGAGCAGAUAACAAAGAAAGAAACAAUCAAAACUUGACUUCAACUGCAGACUAAAGCAGGAAUCAUUCAAAGCUGGAAAAUAAAGACUGAGAACAAAGUGUGUGAGUUUGAAUAACUUUGAUUUGAAGAAAUUAAAUAUUAAAUAUGUGAGACUUUAUUUUCAGGUCAUUUGCGGCUUGUCUAGAGUCCUCGCUUGUUGUUGUUUUUACUGUAACAUACUAAACAUGCGCUUUUUCAGUCCAAAGGUUUUCAAAUUGGGGUUUCCAAACAGGCAGAACAACCCUAACCUUGUAUGAGUUGCCAAAGACCUGAUAGCUGUGAGGGGGUAAAACUGAUCAAGUGGGGACAAAAAGAGAAAUGCUUCUUCACAUCUGUCUUUAGUUCUUUUAAGCUAUGUAUUGGUGCUGUUUAUUCAGUUUAUCCUACUGUAAUAAAUGCUCACUUGCAGGAGUCAUGUGUUUGUAGAAAAAUGAGCUGUAAUGUGUUCUGGGAGGAGUGAAAUGCAGUUCAUGAAUGUGAUAUUUGCCUGUAAGCUUUAUACAACUGUGUCCUUCUGUUUAAGUGUGAAAUAAAAUGAAUAUGAUGAUAAAGUGA